Non-coding RNA from Mycena epipterygia, 93 nucleotides. The record is from the annotation of a GenBank genome assembly. NCBI's taxonomy places the organism in Eukaryota, Fungi, Basidiomycota, Agaricomycetes, Agaricales, Mycenaceae.
GACCCAGUGGUGAAAGGAAUCCCACCUGCCCUGCAUAGGCUGAGCGUAUUGGCAUAUAAGCAGGAGAUCUCGGUUCGAUUCCGGGUUGGGUCG